UGAGUACGAGCUGCUACGGCAGCGAAGUGGGUGAUGUCAAGCUUCCAAGAAAAGCCCUACACCCGUUAAGGCAUGAUGGCCUGUACCCGAAACCGACACAGGUGGGGUGGUAGAGAAUACCGAGGGGCGCGAGGUAACUCUCUCUAAGGAACUCGGCAAAAUGGCCCCGUAACUUCGGGAGAAGGGGUGCCACCGCAAGGUGGUCGCAGUGAGGAGGCCCAGGCGACUGUUUACCAAAAACACAGGUCUCCGCUAAGUCGCAAGACGAUGUAUGGGGGCUGACGCCUGCCCAGUGCCGGAAGGUUAAGGAAGCUGGUCAGCGCAAGCGAAGCUGGCGACUGAAGCCCCGGUGAACGGCGGCCGUAACUAUAACGGUCCUAAGGUAGCGAAAUUCCUUGUCGGGUAAGUUCCGACCCGCACGAAAGGCGUAACGAUCUGGGCGCUGUCUCGGAGAGAGGCUCGGCGAAAUAGAAUUGUCUGUGAAGAUGCGGACUACGUGCACCCGGACAGUAAGACCCUAUGAAGCUUUACUGUAGCUUGGUAUUGUGCCCGGGCUCUAAAUGCGCAGGAUAGGUGGGAGGCUUUGAUCCAUUGCUUGUGGGUGAUGGUGAGCCAACGGUGAGAUACCACUCUUUCAGAGCUAGGGUUCUAACGGUCACCCGUUAUCCGGGGACCGGACAGUAUCAGGUGGGCAGUUUGACUGGGGCGGUCGCCUCCUAAAAGGUAACGGAGGCGCGCAAGGGUUCCCUCAGGCUGGUUGGAAAUCAGCCGAUGAGUGUAAAGGCAGAAGGGAGCUUGACUGUGAGACCUACAAGUCGAACAGGGACGAAAGUCGGCCUUAGUGAUCCGACGGUUCUGAGUGGAAGGGCCGUCGCUCAACGGAUAAAAGUUACUCUAGGAUAACAGGCUGAUCUCCCCCAAGAGUUCACAUCGACGGGAGGUUUGGCACCUCGAUGUCGGCUCAUCGCAACCUGGGGCUGAAGUCGGUCCCAAGGGUUGGGCUGUUCGCCCAUUAAAGCGGUACGCGAGCUGGGUUCAGAACGUCGUGAGACAGUUCGGUCCAUAUCCGGUGCAUGCGCAGGAAUAUUGAGAGGAUUUCUCCCUAGUACGAGAGGACCGGGAGGAACGCACCUCUGGUGUACCAGUUAUCGUGCCAACGGUAAACGCUGGGUAGCCAUGUGCGGAGUGGAUAACCGCUGAAAGCAUCUAAGUGGGAAGCCCACCUCAAGAUGAGUAUUCCCAUGGCGUUAGCCAGUAAGGUCACGGGCAGAACACCCGUUGAUAGGCUCUACGUGGAAGCCGGGUAACCGGUGAAGCGGAGGAGUACUAAUAGACCGAGGGCCUG
Molecule: ribosomal RNA, 1345 nt
Filed under: metagenome
Description: bacterial LSU rRNA
Rfam family: Bacterial large subunit ribosomal RNA
Source: RNAcentral